This is a long non-coding RNA of Equus caballus (horse), 1778 nucleotides long. NCBI's taxonomy places the organism in Eukaryota, Metazoa, Chordata, Mammalia, Perissodactyla, Equidae. The record is from Ensembl.
GUGGCAGACCGCCAUAGUGGGUCAAAGGGGCAGCCCGCCACGCUGCUCAGCCCUAGGGGCGCCCCACACACUCUGGUGUCCGACUGCCAGAGUGGCCCAAAUUGGCAGCCCGCAGCGCUGCACAGCCCUGGGGGCCCUCCUCCCACUCAUGCGGCCGACCGCCAGUGUGGGUCAAAGUGGCAGCCCGCCGCGCUGCUCAGCCUUGGGGUCCCUCACCCCACUCAGGCGGCCGACAGACAGAGUGGGUCAUAGUGGCAGCCCGCCGCGCUGCUCAGCCCGGGCGGGCCCCUCUCUACUCAGAUGGCCGACAGCCAGACUGGGUCAAAGUGGCAGCCUGCCGCGCUGCUCAGACCUGGGGGACCCACCCCCACUCAGGCGGCGGACCACCAGAGUGGGUCAAAGUGGCAACCCGCAGCGCAGCUCAGCCCUGGGCGCCCCACCUUGUCUCAGGCGGCAGACCGCCAGUGUGGGUCAAAGUGGCAGCCCGCCGCGCUGCUCAGCCCUGGGGUCCCUCACCCCACUCAUGCGGCCGACAGCCAGAGUGGGUCAAAGUGGCAACCCGCCGCGCAGCUCAGCCCUGGGGGACACAACCUGACUCAGGUUGCAGACCGCCAGAGUGGGUCAAAGUGGCAGCCCGCCGCGCUGCUCAGCCCUGGUGGCCACACCCCACUCAGGCGGCCCACCGCCAGAGUGGGUCAAAGUGUUAGCACGCAUUGCUGCUCAGCCCCUGGGGACCUCCCCCACACUCAGGUGCCCAACCAGCAGAGUGGGACAAAGUGGCAGCCCACAGCGCUGCUCAGCCCUGGGGGCCCUCCCCCCACUCAGGCGGCCGACCGCCAGAGUGGGUCAAAGUGGCAGCCCGCCGGGCUGCUCAGCCCUGGGGGCCCUCUCCCCACUCAGGAGUCUGACCGCCAGAGUGGGUCAAAGUGGCAGCCCCACCCCCACUCAGGCGGCCGACAGCCAGAGAGGGUCAAAGAGGGAGCCCGCCGCGCUGCUCAGCCCCCCCAACAGUCAGGCGGGCGACGGCCAGAGUGGGUCAAAGUGGCAGUCCGCCACGAUGCUCAUCCCUGGGGGCCCUUUCCCCACCCAAGCGGCCGACCGCCAGAGUGGGUCUAAGUGGCAGCCCGCUGCGCUGCUCAGCCCUGGGGCCCCUCCCUCCCACUAAGGCGCCCCACCGCCAGAGUGGGUCAGAGUGGCAGCCCGCCGCGCUGCUCAGCCCUGGGGGCCCCACCCCCACUCAGGCGGCAAUCCGCCAGAGUGGGUCAAAGUGGCAGCCCUCCGAGGUGCUGAGCAUUGGCGGGCCCGACCCCCACUCAAGCGGCCCAUAGACAGAGUGGGAAAAAGUGGCAGCCCGCCGCGCUGCUCACCCCUGGCGGCCACCGCCAACUCAGGCGGCCGACCGCCCGAGUGGGUCAAAGUCGCAGCCCGCAGCACUGCUCAGCCCUGGGGGCGCCCCACGUAGUCUGGCGGCCGAUCGCCACAGUGGCUCAUAGUGGCAGCCCACCACGCAGCUCAGCCCUGGGGGUCCCACGCCCACUCAGGCGGCCGACCGCCAGAGUGGGUCAAAGUGGCAGCCCGCCGCGCAGCUCAGUCCGGGCGGGCCCCCCUCUACUCAGGCGGCCGACAGAAAGACUGGGUCAAAUUGGCAGCCCACCGCACUGCUCAGCCCUGGAGGCCCCCCCCCCACUCUGGCUGCCGACCGCCAGAGUGGGUCAAAGAGGCACCCCGCCGCGCUGCUCAGCCCUGGGGCCCUCCCUCCCACUGAAGCGGCCGACCGC